UUAGCACAAAAGUUAACUUGUAGCAAUAAAUUUAUUUUUCUUGGAUUAGUAAGGUUCCUUCUCUAAAGUCAGCCACAUCUUACUCUAAUCACCUCAUUUGUCUUCUUUGUUUAUUGAACAUUAGCCUCAUCAAGCACUAUCAGAAAUUACUACUUGCUCAACGAACUAAAUUUCAUCGCACAAAUAAACUUUACACGAUUGGAAAAAAUUUGUGGAUUACCUUAACUGGGUCUGGAGCUCACGGUACAAGGAGUGGAAGUACGAGCGCCACAAGUACCAUGACUCUUGUCCAACACCAGAGUCAACACGAGCGGACCCGCCUAAGGGGUUCCUAGAAAGGGUGGACGAGUGGCACUGGCUUUGCCCUCACUCUAAGAGUGAAAAGUUCCAGGUAAUUUAUUUUUUAUAUUAAUUUCAUUUGUAUUCUAUAUUUGUUUUUUAUCUUCAUUUAAGCUAAUACUUUUUAAUGUGUAGAAAAUAUCGGCGGCAAAUAAGGGAAACCGGGAGCAGAAGCCGUAUAAGCACCACUCAGGUUCUCGAUCCCUAUCUUAUCGGGUUGAGGAACAAUGGGAGGCUGGGGAGAAGUUCCCGAAUGUGUGGUCACCCAUGACAACUAUGGUCUAGGGGGAGGCCCAUGACAACUAUGGAAAAAUGUCGCACGUGGAGCCCAAAAUAAUCACAAGGCGACACGUGGAUUUUUGGGUGAAAAUGACAAAAUUACCCUUGAGGCACAUCGAAAUUCCUACGCGGGAGCAGUGGACAAUCAUCCCUCAAUCAAGUCAAAAGUGCCCAAAAAAGGUAACAAGUUCAAAAACCAUCUCAUCAAAUCCCUCUUACAAGGUAACUCCCAAAACCUAUUUCAUUCCAUAUAUUUUUUUACCUCCUUUUCUCUCUUUUAGCUAAUCAAUUAGCUAUCAUUCCAUAACUUACAAAAUAUUCCACAUAAAUUACAUAACCUCCAAAAUAUUCAUUCCAAAAAUGUGUUAAUUGGCUAAUUAAUGGAUUAAUUACCUAAUUAAUCCAUUAAUUGCCAAAUAACUCACACAUUAAACCACAAAAUGCACACAAAAAACAUCCCAAAGGUCAGCCACCUUUUCUCCAAACGGGACCAGCCAUGCCCUAUAAAUACUACCCAUUUUUCUCUAAAAACCUAGGUCCCACUCUUGCAAAACUCCAAAAACUCUCUAAACACUUUUCUCUCUAAAUUCUAACUUUAGCAUCAGAGGUUCUUCGGCUAAAGCCCCCCCCCCCAAUUCAUUGUGGGCGCGUAAGGCUUUUGGCCUUAACCAAAGGUGUUAAUUAUUUUGUAGGUGCAAUUUUGUCCAAGAUCAAGGAGGAAGAAAUUUGCAUCCACAAAUUGGUGUUUUCAUUCAGAGAAAAGUCACACACUCGUAGAAGACUCCCGUAUCAAAAGGUUUUUCUAUUUUCUUGUCCAUUUGUAGAUUUUUCGUACGUUCUUAUUAUUAGAAUUUUUUAUUUGCAAAGAUUCUUUGAUAAAACGUAAAAGAGAAAUACAAUGGCUAGAAAUUUAGAAAAUUUCACAAGUGAAAAUUCCAAUAUUCAAGAAAUGGGACCAAGGCGAUCCACGAGGCUAAAUGAGAUCAUUGGAGCGGCACCCUCGUUACGGGGCUCCGUCGUGGC
RNAcentral lists this long non-coding RNA (1641 nucleotides) under Malus domestica (apple). RNAcentral's name for it is "long non-coding RNA (MDOM_LNC006080)". The record is from RNAcentral. Lineage: Eukaryota; Viridiplantae; Streptophyta; Magnoliopsida; Rosales; Rosaceae.